Molecule: unclassified non-coding RNA, 263 nt
Filed under: Sordaria fimicola
Lineage: Eukaryota; Fungi; Ascomycota; Sordariomycetes; Sordariales; Sordariaceae
Description: partial internal transcribed spacer region
Rfam family: Eukaryotic small subunit ribosomal RNA (bases 1-46)
Source: RNAcentral
AAGUCGUAACAAGGUUUCCGUUGGUGAACCAGCGGAGGGAUCAUUACAGAGUUGCAAAACUCCAACAAACCAUCGCGAAUCUUACCCGUACGGUUGCCUCGGCGCUGGCGGUCCGGAAGGCCCUCGGGCCCCCGGAUCCUCGGGUCUCCCGCUCGCGGGAGGCUGCCCGCCGGAGUGCCGAAACCAAACUCUUGAUAUUUUAUGUCUCUCUGAGUAAACUUUUAAAUAAGUCAAAACUUUCAACAACGGAUCUCUUGGUUCUG